Molecule: small nuclear RNA, 39 nt
Filed under: Cervus elaphus hippelaphus
Lineage: Eukaryota; Metazoa; Chordata; Mammalia; Artiodactyla; Cervidae
Source: RNAcentral
GUGCUCACUUCAGCAGCACAUACACUAAAAUUGGAAAGA